This is a non-coding RNA of Jatropha curcas, 135 nucleotides long. NCBI's taxonomy places the organism in Eukaryota, Viridiplantae, Streptophyta, Magnoliopsida, Malpighiales, Euphorbiaceae. The record is from Rfam.
AUCGCCUCCGAAUAACCAGAAGGUUGAUUUAAUCAAUGCCGUUUGGUUCAGACAGAGGCGAAGAACAACCUGAAUCUGUUUGAGGGUAAGGAAAUUUCCAUCUGUUUUCCCCAACCUAGAUCGAUUCAAAUAUUU